This 96-nucleotide microRNA precursor is filed under the name Nicotiana sylvestris (wood tobacco). Its description in RNAcentral is "MIR6152 microRNA precursor family". It matches the Rfam family "MIR6152 microRNA precursor family". Lineage: Eukaryota; Viridiplantae; Streptophyta; Magnoliopsida; Solanales; Solanaceae. The record is from Rfam by way of RNAcentral.
UGGACAGAUUACUGUAUUCGACUAUAUUCACGGCGUGAAACAGGGGAUUACACUGUUUUUAAACGGAAAGUGUAUCAAUUAACAUAAUAGACUCCU